UUUAUUUAAAAUAGUCAGGAAUAUGCCAUACUAGAUACUGGUCACUGUUACAAUUACAGAAAAAAUAAAGGUGCUGUAGAUUUUUACCACCACACACCCUGCCAUGACAUAGCUAUUAAUGUCCAUUCACAUGCUCUGUAUUCUCCUUUUUCUGAUGCUGCAUGGAUUUCCCAGUUUUAUACACAUUGGGUAAGUUGUGCAGUGUGCCAUUUUUUAAGAUUCAUUUUUAUCAUGCUGGAUUCUAUAAAAAAAUUUUCAGGGCAAUAUAUGGCUUAAUUAAUCAAACAGUUUAAGGCCUAUCUUAUUUAUGAGCAGUUGUUUGGGGUAAUUUACAAAAAAUGUACCAAAAAAACAUUUCUUAUCUGGGGGAGGUACAAAGGCUCCGAAAUUUGUAUCAUGGGCUUUUUAAAAUGCCCCACUUAUCCCUAAGACAUAGCAGAAGGAAGCAUACUUUAUCUGCCAAUAUUAUAAACAAAUAUAGUCCAUUUAAGAAGAUUAUACCAUGAUUGAUUUACAAUAUGUUGCACUUGAACAGAUAAAUUAUGCUCUGAAGUAUUUUGUCCCUGCACACUGUAUUUUGCCCUAGGAAAUGUAUUAUAAACCUGACUUGACUCUUCUUUCUACAUUAUUUACUGCAACUCCUAAUGCCCACAUGUUUGAUCCAUAUACUGUAUUUAUAUUACAGAGCUCUCAAACCAGGCAAAAUUCUUCUGGACAAAGAAGGCCAUGUCAAAAUCGCGGAGACCAAACCAUUGCUGGAUAUGCAGGGACGCCUGGAUACAUGGCCCCAGAGAUCCUGCUGAAGAAGGAAUACAAUGCUGGGGUGGACUGGUGGUCCAUUGGAAUUGUCAUCUGUGAAAUGGCCAUCGGCAGAUCCCCAUUUUACAAUGGUAACGAUAAGAAGAGAAUCUGGUAUUCCACCAUCCGUGAUAAACUUGAACUCCCAGACUGGCUGAGCACAGAAAUGUCGGAUCUCAUUUGAAAGCUCCUGAAGAAAGAUCCUGUCAAACGUCUGGGUGUUAAUGGAAACAUUCGAGAGCACCCUGCUUUUUCAACAAUUAACUGGGAGGAGCUGGAAAAUAAGCAAAUAGCACCACCUUUCAAAUUUACAAGAGUAAGUAUAUUCCCAAAAUAUAUAAUGGGCUAGUGACACAACAAUUUUUAGCCUCCAAGCUAUAUUUCUGCAGGACCAUUGAUGCUCUUCUGUUAUUCAGCCAUUACUUUGCUUUCUAAUAGCAACAGAGGCAAGUUGUAAUUAAUUGUAUUAGUCAAAUGAGCAGAUUCGUAUUAAUAAUACAAGAAAGCAGUUGUUGAAGGACUGGAGCUGGUUGUGAGCAAUUCUAGGCUUCCGGAAUGUAAGUAUCACUAGCUCAGCAUGUCCUGCUAGAUCACAAUUAACAUUU
Molecule: long non-coding RNA, 1403 nt
Organism: Xenopus laevis (African clawed frog)
Lineage: Eukaryota; Metazoa; Chordata; Amphibia; Anura; Pipidae
Exons: 3
Source: RefSeq, a predicted model, not a curated record